This 197-nucleotide unclassified non-coding RNA is filed under the name rhizosphere metagenome. RNAcentral's name for it is "partial ribosomal RNA internal transcribed spacer region". The record is from RNAcentral.
GAGCGAGGGUCCCCCGGGGCCCGAACCUCCCACCCUUUGUGAACCAUACCUCUGUUGCUUUGGCGGACCCGCGGGGUCACACCCGCCGCCGGCUCCGGCUGGCGAGCGCCCGCCAGAGUCCACCCAAACUCUUGUGAACAGUGACGUCUGAUUACUAUUUAAUAGUUAAAACUUUCAACAACGGAUCUCUUGGUUCU